This 96-nucleotide signal recognition particle RNA is filed under the name Pseudomonas baetica. RNAcentral's name for it is "signal recognition particle sRNA small type". It matches the Rfam family "Bacterial small signal recognition particle RNA". From Rfam's summary of the family: The signal recognition particle (SRP) is a universally conserved ribonucleoprotein involved in the co-translational targeting of proteins to membranes. Archaeal SRP consists of a 7S RNA and homologues of the eukaryotic SRP19 and SRP54 proteins. The record is from RNAcentral. Lineage: Bacteria; Pseudomonadati; Pseudomonadota; Gammaproteobacteria; Pseudomonadales; Pseudomonadaceae.
CAUCGGUCCCCCGCAACGAUUAACCGUUAACCUGGUCAGGCCUGGAAGGGAGCAGCCACAGCGGGAACAUUGUGUGCCGGGGUGUGGCUGUUGGAG